Molecule: ribosomal RNA, 903 nt
Filed under: Quasiphlebia densa
Lineage: Eukaryota; Fungi; Basidiomycota; Agaricomycetes; Polyporales; Phanerochaetaceae
Description: partial large subunit ribosomal RNA
Rfam family: Eukaryotic large subunit ribosomal RNA
Source: RNAcentral
AACUUAAGCAUAUCAAUAAGCGGAGGAAAAGAAACUAACAAGGAUUCCCCUAGUAACUGCGAGUGAAGCGGGAAAAGCUCAAAUUUAAAAUCUGGCAGUCUUUGGCUGUCCGAGUUGUAGUCUGGAGAAGCGUCUUCCGCGCUGGACCGUGUACAAGUCUCCUGGAACGGAGCGUCAUAGAGGGUGAGAAUCCCGUCUUUGACACGGACUACCAGUGCUUUGUGAUGCGCUCUCAAAGAGUCGAGUUGUUUGGGAAUGCAGCUCAAAAUGGGUGGUGAACUCCAUCUAAAGCUAAAUAUUGGCGAGAGACCGAUAGCGAACAAGUACCGUGAGGGAAAGAUGAAAAGCACUUUGGAAAGAGAGUUAAACAGUACGUGAAAUUGCUGAAAGGGAAACGCUUGAAGUCAGUCGCGUUUGCUAGAACUCAGCCUGGCUUUUGCUUGGUGCAUUUUCUAGUAAACGGGCCAGCAUCACUUUUGGUUGCGGGAUAAAGGUCGCAGGAAUGUGGCACCUUCGGGUGUGUUAUAGCCUGUGAUUGCAUACCGUGGCCGGGAGUGAGGAACUCAGCACGCAUUUGUUGUGCUCAGGAUGCUGGCGUAAUGGCUUUAAACGACCCGUCUUGAAACACGGACCAAGGAGUCUAACAUGCCUGCGAGUGUUUGGGUGGUAAACCCGAGCGCGUAAUGAAAGUGAAAGUUGGGACCUCUGUCGUGGAGGGCACCGACGCCCGGACCAGACCUUCUGUGACGGAUCCGCGGUAGAGCAUGUAUGUUGGGACCCGAAAGAUGGUGAACUAUGCCUGAAUAGGGUGAAGCCAGAGGAAACUCUGGUGGAGGCUCGUAGCGAUUCUGACGUGCAAAUCGAUCGUCAAAUUUGGGUAUAGGGGCGAAAGACUAAUCGACC